Molecule: ribosomal RNA, 568 nt
Filed under: uncultured Lactobacillus sp.
Lineage: Bacteria; Bacillati; Bacillota; Bacilli; Lactobacillales; Lactobacillaceae
Description: bacterial SSU rRNA
Rfam family: Bacterial small subunit ribosomal RNA
Source: RNAcentral
UCGGCUUAGAGUUUGAUCAUGGCUCAGGACGAACGCUGGCGGCGUGCCUAAUACAUGCAAGUCGAACGAAUUGGUGCUUGCAUCAUUGAGUGGCGAACUGGUGAGUAACACGUGGGAAACCUGCCCAGAAGCGGGGGAUAACACCUGGAAACAGAUGCUAAUACCGCAUAACAACUUGACCGCAUGGUCCAAGUUGAAAGAUGUUCGUAUCACUUUUGGAUGGUCCCGCGGCGUAUUAGCUAGAUGGUGGGGUAACGGCUCACCAUGGCAAUGAUACGUAGCCGACCUGAGAGGGUAAUCGGCCACAUUGGGACUGAGACACGGCCCAAACUCCUACGGGAGGCAGCAGUAGGGAAUCUUCCACAAUGGACGAAAGUCUGAUGGAGCAACGCCGCGUGAGUGAAGAAGGGUUUCGGCUCGUAAAACUCUGUUGUUAAAGAAGAACAUAUCUGAGGUAAUUCACGUAUUGACGGUAUUUAACCAGAAAGCCACGGCUAACUACGUGCCAGCGGCCGCGGUAAUACGUAGGUGGCAAGCGUUGUCCGGAUUUAUUGGGCGUAAAGCGAGC